Molecule: small nucleolar RNA, 107 nt
Organism: Dendrobium catenatum
Lineage: Eukaryota; Viridiplantae; Streptophyta; Magnoliopsida; Asparagales; Orchidaceae
Source: RefSeq, a predicted model, not a curated record
AAGGCUUGGUGAGGACACUUUCUAAGCAUUUCCUUGAAUCUCUCCCAACUCUCAUAAAUAAAUUCCCCUUCUAAUUGAGUAAAAGAAGUAAUAUCAUUUUUAAGUUU